GUGAGGGCAAGCCAACCACAGAAAAGCCAUCUCAGUUCGGAUUGUAGUCUGCAACCCGACUACAUGAAGCUGGAAUCGCUAGUAAUCGCAGAUCAGAAUGCUGCGGUGAAUACGUUCCCGGGUCUUGUACACACCGCCCGUCACACCAUGGGAGUUGGAAAUGCCCGAAGCCAGUGACCCAACCGUAAGGAGGGAGCUGUCGAAGGUGGAGCCGAUGACUGGGGUGAAGUCGUAACAAGGUAUC
RNAcentral lists this ribosomal RNA (244 nucleotides) under uncultured bacterium. RNAcentral describes it as "partial 16S ribosomal RNA". It matches the Rfam family "Bacterial small subunit ribosomal RNA", at positions 1257 to 1500 of the family's 1533-position model. The record is from RNAcentral.